Molecule: long non-coding RNA, 2428 nt
Filed under: Homo sapiens (human)
Lineage: Eukaryota; Metazoa; Chordata; Mammalia; Primates; Hominidae
Description: PREDICTED lncRNA (TCONS_00108691)
Source: RNAcentral
CUUCUCAACCAGUUUACCUCUCUGACCGCUCUUACGGUGUUUGGGGGCAAAAAACUAAGGAUCUAGACUCUCUAAACCGCUCGCUGGGUCCUUCUCUCCCCACAAUGCACCGGGGCCAGCAGGAAGGCCGCUCCGACCCCUAAUUUUCCCGCGAAUUCAGUUCAAAGAGGCGGCCGGGCCCGCGAUCGGCAGCGCGCACCGGCCAACCAAGCCGCGCCUCCGCGAGAAGCGCCUCCGCGUGACUGACGGGGGAAUCCGCGGGCCAACGGGCUGGGCGGCCCGGCGGUGCGCGCUCCCGCCGGCCAAUCAGAGCGCCGGGCGGGGGAAGUGGGCGGAGCGAGGCCUGGGUAGGGUGAGCGGCCUCCGAAGCGGAGCGGGGCUCUGAGGAGACACUUUUUCUUCCUCCCUCCUUCCCUCCUCUCCUCCUGCCUUCCCUUCCCCUUUCCUCCCCUCUCUCCUCCUUCUCCCCUCGGUCAGCCGGAGCCUGCUGGGGCGAGCGGUUGGUAUUGCAGGCGCUUACUCUCCGGGGCCGCCCGGCGAGUAGCUGGCCGGGGAAGGAGGCAGGAACCGCGAUGGCGCCUCAGAAGCACGGCGGUGGGGGAGGGGGCGGCUCGGGGCCCAGCGCGGGGUCCGGGGGAGGCGGCUUCGGGGGUUCGGCGGCGACGGCUUCGAGCGGCAAAUCCGGCGGCGGGGGCUGUGGAGGCGGUGGCAGUUACUCGGCCUCCUCCUCCUCCGCGGCGUUACCGGUGAAGAAGUCGAAAAUGGAGCACGUCCAGGCUGACCACGAGCUUUUCCUCCAGGCCUUUGAGAGAAAACAUUUAAAGUUGAUGAUAUGUUAUCAAAAGUAGAGAAAAUGAAAGGAGAGCAAGAAUCUCAUAGCUUGUCAGCUCAUUUGCAGCUUACAUUUUUGGUUUCUUCCACAAAAAUGAUAAGCCAUCACCAAACUCAGAAAAUGAACAAAAUUCUGUUACCCUGGAAGUCCUGCUUGUGAAAGUUUGCCACAAAAAAAGAAAGGAUGUAUGUUGUCCAAUAAGGCAAGUUCCCACAGAGUGACUCGUCCAAGAAGAAGAGAGUUUAAUGGAAUGAUUAAUGGAGAAACCAUGAAAAUAUUGAUGUCAGUGAAGAGCUUCCAGCCAGAAGAAAAUGAAAUCGUGAGGAUGGGGAAAAGACAUUUGUUGCACAAAUGACAGUAUUUGAUAAAAACAGUUUCAUCCUUGUUGCCCAGGCUGGAGUGCAAUGGCGCGAUCUCAGCUCACUGCAACCUCUGCCUCCCUGGUUCAAGCGAUUCUCCUGCCUCAGCCUCCUGAAUGUCAGUACUUUGUGUGCUCUUGAAAUAGGAAAUGUACAGAUCCCUAUUGCCAGACACAUCAUUCUCUCCAUCCAGAAAGCCAACUUUGCAAGGACAAAAAAAAAAAUUAGUGUGAAACAAAAUGUGGCUUUUCCAAAGACAGAUGUGAUUAUUUAUAGUCAAUGUGGCCUCAAAAUGUCAUUGAUUGUGAAAUAGCAAACAUGCAGGAUCAUAAUAUUUGGACGGAAUCUUGCACUGUCUCCCAGGCUGGAGUGCAGUGGCACGAUCUCUGCUCACUGCAACCUCCGCCUCCAGGCUUCCAGUGAUUCUCCUGCUUCAGCCUCCCGAGUAGCUGGGACUACAGGCGCACCUCACCACACCCAGCUAAUUUUUAGUAUUUUUAGUAGAGACGAGGUUUCACUAUGUUGGCCAGGAUGGUCUCGAUCUCCUGACCUCGUGAUCUGCCCACCUCGGCCUCCCAAAGUGCUGGGAUAAUAUGCAUGAGCCACAGUGCCCGGCCUAUGCUUUUUUUCUUUUUUUUGAGACGGAGUCUCGCUCAGUCACCCAGGCUGGAGUACAGUGGCGCGAUCUCAGCUCACUGUAACCUCUGCCUCCCAGGCUCAAGCAAUUCUCAUGCCUCAGCCUCCUGAGUGGCUGGGAUUAUAGGUGUGUGCCACCACACCCUGCUAAUUUUUUUUUUCUUUUUGAGACGGGUCUUGCCCUGUUGCCAGGCUGAAGUGCAAUGGCUCACUGCAACAUUUGCCUCCCGGGUUCAAGUGAUUCUCCUGCCUCACUCUCCCUAGUUGCUGGGAUUACAGGUGUGCACUACCACAUCCAGCUAAUUUUUGUAUUUUUAGUAAAGAUGGGGUUUCACCAUGUUGGCCAGGGUGGUGUCUUGAUCUCCUAACCUUGUGAUCCACCCACCUCAGCCUCCCGAAGUGCUGGGAUUACAGGCGGGAGCCAUUGCGCCUGUCCUAAUAUUUGUAUUUUUAGUAAAGAUGGGGUUUUACCAGGUUGACCAGGCUGGUCUCGAACUCCUGACCACAAGUGAUCCAACCGCCUCGGCCUCCCAAAGUGCUGGGAUUACAAGUGUGAGCCACUGCGUCCAGUCUCUUGGCCUCUAAAAUUUUUUUUUUUUUU